RNAcentral lists this non-coding RNA (555 nucleotides) under Cephalotus follicularis. RNAcentral's name for it is "Eukaryotic small subunit ribosomal RNA". It matches the Rfam family "Eukaryotic small subunit ribosomal RNA", at positions 4 to 520 of the family's 1831-position model. Lineage: Eukaryota; Viridiplantae; Streptophyta; Magnoliopsida; Oxalidales; Cephalotaceae. The record is from Rfam by way of RNAcentral.
UUGGUGGAUCCUGCCAGUAGUCAUAUGCUUAUCUCAAAGAUUAAGCCAUGCAUGUGAAAGUAUGAACUAAUUCAGAAUGUGAAACAGCGAAUGGCUCAUUAAAUCAAUUAUAUUUGUUUGAUGGUAUCUGCUACUCAGAUAAUCGUAGUAAUUCUAGAGCUAAUACGUGCAACCAACUCUAACUUCUAGAAGGGAUUCAUUUAUUAGAUAAAAGUUUGACGCAGGCUCUGCCCAUUGCUUCGAUGAUUCAUGAUAACUCGACGGAUUGUACGGCCAUCGUGCCGGCGACGCAUCAUUCAAAUUUCUGCCCUAUCAACUUUCGAUGGAAGGAUAGUGGCCUACUGUUAGCCCCUUAGGCUUAAUUUGAUCCCGUGACACCUACCAUGGUGGUGAUGAGUGACAGAGAAUUAGGGUUCGAUUUCAGAGAGGGAGCCUUAGAAACGGCUACCAAAUACAAGGAAGGCAGUAGGCGCAAAUUAACCAAUCCUGACACGAGGAGGUAGUGACAAUAAAUAACAAUACCGGGCUCGACAUAGAUCUUUAAAGACAUAGAUU